Long non-coding RNA from Microplitis mediator, 742 nucleotides. RefSeq lists it as uncharacterized. The transcript has 3 exons. The record is from RefSeq and is a predicted model, not a curated record. NCBI's taxonomy places the organism in Eukaryota, Metazoa, Arthropoda, Insecta, Hymenoptera, Braconidae.
UGUCUACAAUUUGACGGUAAAAAAAUACUUAAAAAUUUUUCAAGUCAAAUUAAAAAUAAAUUGACAUAAAAUUUGCCUGAAAAUUGACGACAACUUUUUUCUAGUUAACUUUUGAACUGAAUUCGAAUUCUAAUUCGAGUAGUAAAUUUACGUGAAAUUGUAGAGGAAGUUGUAUACAAAUUGUCGUAAAAAACGGAAAAGUCCGAAGUUGACGGAGAUUUGACGAAAAAUUCAAGGAAACUUUUGAACUGACACGGAGGCGUGGCUUAAAAAACAUGUCGGACAGUAGCUUACACUUUUAAAUGCGUAAUCCAUGUAGGAGUAGGGUAAAUACAUAAAAUGUUAUUAAAUUUUGUAGACAUAUUAUCUUGGACGGGUAAAAACCCAAAGCAAAAAAAUAUACAUGAUGCCGAACGAAUUUUAUAUGUUGCCCUAAUAGCCACACUCUAAAUAUAAUUGCUUAGCAAGGUCUGCAGUGAAACAUUUACGGCUAACUUAACGACAAGUUUCUGAGAUUAAGAUACAGAAAAUCAAUUCAUUUCGAAUCAAGGACAAUAGUCCCACUAAUUUUAUGAUCGAAUUUAGUAGGUAGCCAUGUCCUAUGGCCGACGUAUAAGUACCGUAAAGUUGAUGGGUAACCAAUAUUAAUACCAAGAUGUAAAUUUGAAAAUAACUAAUAAAGAAUCAGGUCUCUUUUUUCGAUUUUUAUUUAAUUAAUUAAAUAAGAUAAUUCAUUAAUUAA